This 394-nucleotide unclassified non-coding RNA is filed under the name soil metagenome. RNAcentral's name for it is "partial contains 5.8S ribosomal RNA, internal transcribed spacer 2, and large subunit ribosomal RNA". The stretch from base 1 to 122 matches the Rfam family "5.8S ribosomal RNA", at positions 35 to 154 of the family's 154-position model. The record is from RNAcentral.
GAUGAAGAACGUAGCGAAUUGCGAUACUUGGUGUGAAUUGCAGAAUCCCGUGAACCAUCGAGUCUUUGAACGCAAGUUGCGCCCGAAGCCAUCAGGUUGAGGGCACGUCUGCCUGGGCGUCACAUAUCGUUGCCCAAUGCCUAUUGCAGUGCAAUAGGAAUUUCUAGGGCGAAUGAUGGCUUCCCGUGAGCGUUGUUGCCUCGCGGUUGGUUGAAAAUCGAGUCCUUGGUAGGGUGUGCCAUGGUAGAUGGUGGUCGAGUUAGAACGAUACCGAUCAUGUGCAUGCUCCCCAAAAUAUGGCCUCUAUGACCCACACGCGUCUUUUGACGCUCAUGACGAGACCUCAGGUCAGGCGGGGCUACCCGCUGAAUUUAAGCAUAUCAAUAACGGAGGA